Molecule: ribosomal RNA, 399 nt
Filed under: uncultured bacterium
Lineage: Bacteria
Description: bacterial SSU rRNA
Rfam family: Bacterial small subunit ribosomal RNA
Source: RNAcentral
CUGGCCUUGACAUCCUGCGAACUUUCUAGAGAUAGAUUGGUGCCUUCGGGAACGCAGUGACAGGUGCUGCAUGGCUGUCGUCAGCUCGUGUUGUGAAAUGUUGGGUUAAGUCCCGUAACGAGCGCAACCCUUGUCCUUAGUUGCCAUCAUUUAGUUGGGGACUCUAAGGAGACUGCCGGUGACAAACCGGAGGAAGGUGGGGAUGACGUCAGGUCAUCAUGGCCCUUACGGCCAGGGCUACACACGUGCUACAAUGGUGCGUACAGAGGGCUGCAAACCCGCGAGGGGGAGCUAAUCUCACAAAGCUUGUCGUAGUCCGGAUUGGAGUCUGCAACUCGACUCCAUGAAGUCGGAAUCGCUAGUAAUCGUGAAUCAGAAUGUCACGGUGAAUACGUUCCC